GCCCGAGUGGCGGAAUGGUAGACGCAGGGGAUUCAAAAUCCCCCGUUGCAAGACGUGGGGGUUCGAGUCCCCCCUUGGGCA
RNAcentral lists this transfer RNA (81 nucleotides) under Falsihalocynthiibacter arcticus. RNAcentral's name for it is "Halocynthiibacter arcticus tRNA". It matches the Rfam family "tRNA". From Rfam's summary of the family: Transfer RNA (tRNA) molecules are approximately 80 nucleotides in length. The record is from Rfam by way of RNAcentral. Lineage: Bacteria; Pseudomonadati; Pseudomonadota; Alphaproteobacteria; Rhodobacterales; Roseobacteraceae.